CAGAAUUGCUGGUUGUGAAAAAAAAACAACUGCUGGCGUUAUAAAAGGGAAGAUUGUUGUGGUACAUGUAACUAUGGUAUCCCCUACAUCCCAACCACCAGCACCAGAAGAACCACGCCUAAGAGAUUAGCCACACCAGUGAAACCACCUGUGCUAUUCACUUCCACUAAAGACUGUGAGCCAGGAGAUCUUGACUUGAGACCAGAUCUUUGUACUAACAUAAGUAUCUGCUAUGAACAGCCGUCACUGUGCUGCCACUAUUGCUCGUUACAUAACAAUUCUGCAACUACAAGUACCACACAAUUAACUUCACCCAAUGAGUGUGUACCAGAUUUAAGUCCAGAGCUGUGUUCUAACACUUAUAUCUGCCAGACACAGUCACUGAUGUGCUGUAACUAUUGCUUGUUGCCUUACAAUACAGGAAUCAUUCUCUCAAUCCACAAUAUUUGGAUCCAUUGUUUUUACUUUACAUUGUAUUUUCUUUAUAUAAAAACAAAUGUCUACUAGAUAGAUCUAGAUCUACUGUACUUUUCCCAUGCACAUUUACUUUUAGCUUG
This is a long non-coding RNA of Biomphalaria glabrata, 557 nucleotides long. RefSeq lists it as uncharacterized. The transcript has 3 exons. NCBI's taxonomy places the organism in Eukaryota, Metazoa, Mollusca, Gastropoda, Planorbidae. The record is from RefSeq and is a predicted model, not a curated record.